ACAGCAGUCGCCACGGUAAUACAGAGGAUGCAAGCGUUAUCCGGAAUGAUUGGGCGUAAAGCGUCUGUAGGUGGCUUUUCAAGUCAGUCAUCAAAUCCCUGGGCUCAACCCUGGACAAGCAGUGGAAACUACCAAGCUGGAGUACAGUAGGGGCAGAGUGAAUUUCCGGUGGAGCGGUGAAAUGCGUUGAGAUCAGAGAGAACACCAACGGCGAAAGCACUCUGCUGGGCCGACACUGACACUAAGAGGCGAAAGCUAGGGGAGCAAAUGGGAUUAGAUACCCCAGUAGUCCCUGUCUCUUAUAC
This 305-nucleotide ribosomal RNA is filed under the name uncultured bacterium. RNAcentral describes it as "partial 16S ribosomal RNA". It matches the Rfam family "Bacterial small subunit ribosomal RNA", at positions 505 to 807 of the family's 1533-position model. The record is from RNAcentral.